AUUGAACGCUGGCGGCAGGCUUAACACAUGCAAGUCGAACGGUAACAGAAGAUAGCUUGCUAUUUUGCUGACGAGUGGCGGACGGGUGAGUAAUGCUUGGGAAUACGCCUUAUGGUGGGGGACAACAGUUGGAAACGACUGCUAAUACCGCAUAAUAUCUUCGGAUCAAAGUGGGGGACCUUCGGGCCUCACGCCAUGAGAGUAGCCCAAGUGGGAUUAGCUAGUUGGUAAGGUAAUGGCUUACCAAGGCGACGAUCCCUAGCUGGUCUUAGAGGAUGACCAGCCACACUGGAACUGAGACACGGUCCAG
Molecule: ribosomal RNA, 310 nt
Filed under: uncultured Psychromonas sp.
Lineage: Bacteria; Pseudomonadati; Pseudomonadota; Gammaproteobacteria; Alteromonadales; Psychromonadaceae
Description: bacterial SSU rRNA
Rfam family: Bacterial small subunit ribosomal RNA
Source: RNAcentral